Molecule: ribosomal RNA, 757 nt
Filed under: Cyathus parvocinereus
Lineage: Eukaryota; Fungi; Basidiomycota; Agaricomycetes; Agaricales; Nidulariaceae
Description: eukaryotic LSU rRNA
Rfam family: Eukaryotic large subunit ribosomal RNA
Source: RNAcentral
UCUGGUGGUCUUUGGCCAUCCGAGUUGUAAUCUAGAGAAGUGUUACCCGCGUUGGACCGUGUACAAGUCUCCUGGAAUGGAGCGUCAUAGAGGGUGAGAAUCCCGUCUUUGACACGGACUACCAAGGCUUUGUGGUGCGCUCUCAACGAGUCGAGUUGUUUGGGAAUGCAGCUCAAAAUGGGUGGUAAAUUCCAUCUAAAGCUAAAUACAGGCGAGAGACCGAUAGCGAACAAGUACCGUGAGGGAAAGAUGAAAAGAACUUUGGAAAGAGAGUUAAACAGUACGUGAAAUUGCUGAAAGGGAAACGCUGGAAGUCAGUCGCGUUGGCUAGGAAUCAACCUUGCUUUUUGCAGGGCUUACUUCUUAGUUGACGGGCCAACAUCAAUUUUGAUUGCUGGAAAAAGGCCUAGGAAAUGUGGCACCUUCGGGUGUGUUAUAGUCCUGGGUUGUAUACAGUGAUUGGGAUUGAGGAACGCAGCACGCCGCAAGGUUGGGUUUCGACCACACUCGUGCUUCGGAUGUUGGCAUAAUGGCUUUCAUCGACCCGUCUUGAAACACGGACCAAGGAGUCUAACAUGCCUGCGAGUGUUUGAGUGGAAAACUCGAGCGCACAAUGAAAGUAAAAGUUGAGAUCUCUGUCAUGGAGAGCAUCGACGCCCGGACCUGAUGUUUACUGACGGUUCUGCGGUAGAGCAUGUAUGUUGGGACCCGAAAGAUGGUGAACUAUGCCUGAAUAGGGUGAAGCCAGAGGAAACUC